This is a long non-coding RNA of Felis catus (domestic cat), 1682 nucleotides long. RefSeq lists it as uncharacterized. Lineage: Eukaryota; Metazoa; Chordata; Mammalia; Carnivora; Felidae. The transcript has 3 exons. The record is from RefSeq and is a predicted model, not a curated record.
CCACGCUCAGCCCAGAGCCCGACGCGGGGCUUGAUCCCACGACGCUGAGGUCAUGACUUGAGCUGAAAUCAAGAGUUGGACACUCAACCACCUGAGCCACCCCAGUGCCCCGAGAAAUGAAGUAUUCUGAUUCGGGUCACACGGCCAGUAUGUCUCAGUGAUGACAUUCCAAUCUGGUUUUUUGGAUGUGAAUGCUGAAGAGAGAAGAAACCAUGAACAGAACUGAGGACUCAUACGGCAGAUGGAGCUGGUCUUGCCUGAUGGUGAAACUGAGGCCCAGGAGAGUGAAAUAACUUGCCCUCGGCUCACACAGUGGGUGAUGGUCAGAAUUGGAAGCCAGGCCUGCUUGAUGCCAAAAUCUGAACACCUGCCGUGAGUCACAUUUCCGGAGGGGAGGUACACAGCUAGUGGCUUUCUAGGAACCAUCUCAGCAGAAAGAAGUCCCUCACUGCUCUGAGCCCUGUGGUUCUGUAGUCACUGGCAUGACGUGAGGACCCCACAGCAGCAGAGGGCUGCAGACUGAGAAGCUUUACUGUGGACUGUGCCCGAGAGCGUAAAUCAUCCUCAGUCCAGCACGAGGCUUAGGCCGGUUCUUGUGAAGAAAGCUUUACUGGAACUCAGCCACGCCCAUUCACGUACACAUCUUCCAUGGCUGCUUUCGCACUGUGAUGACAGAGUCGAGUAGUUGCAACAGAAACCCAAUGGCUGGCAAAACCUAACAUGUGCAUUACCUAGCCCUUUCUAGAAAAAAGUUUGCUCUCUCCUGGCCCAGAAUUAUAAGAGAUCGUGUUUUUAUUUACUUAAAAUGGAGCAUAUUAUGAUUUGGGAGGCCGGGAAUAUCCAGGAUGUUUGGGACAGGAUCUGAGCUUCUCAUUACGGGGAAGGCAACGGCUUACCGGCAGCUUGGAGGACAGUGUCGACGAGGAUUCUGAGGCGGUGUCUGGACUGGUCUGGGCACUUCCAGAGAGGUGAGGGCUGGGCUACGAGUCAUGUAGGCGAGGAGCACCAGAUGAGGAAAUGAGCAAGGCGAAUAAAUCCAUGCCCUUCUUUCCCAAAGGUGAAAGCACUUGGCACUGCUGAGUUUGGAACUGUAAACAUACCCUCACUGGAGUGAGAAAGGUGACACUGAACUACCAUUCAAGCUUGACAGAGGCCGACAACAGGCAGAAAAGGCUAAGGUUGGGCUAGAGCUCCUGCUUCAGUUAAGGCUUCUAUGUACUCAUGGGAGGCUAGCAAUGCAACAGUGUUCGUCCAGGGUGGCAUUUCCUAUAAAGCUUCCCAUUUGGAGAAGACGGGGGCAUUUAUUAAUCUGUGCAAUCGCAAUGCCGCUUAAAAAAUGUUACAAGUUAUUUAAGGACGAAAAGAUCAGGGUGUGUGACAAUGCACGUUUAUUGGAGAAAGUGGUAUAAAAUGUGGCUCCUGUCAUUUAUAUAGAGACGUAUAUACGUAGCCCUUGGACUGUGGGUUUUAAAGUUGAAGAAUCUUAACACUACCUACUCCAAUGAGCAAUUCUUCAGUGAUCCAAAUAAAUCCGGGUAGUGGAGUGGUCCUCCGCAGACUCUCCUUGUUACGGUGAAAGUGUCACUGAAAGGUGGAUGCCAGUCUGGUUUUGGGAACUCAAAUCACAGAGUCUGUCACUCAGGAUAAAUCCUUCUAAAAUAUAUUAGCUACCUUCGCAUAAA